AAGUCGUAACAAGGUUUCCGUAGGUGAACCUGCGGAAGGAUCAUUAACACGUAUCCAACGUUAAACAACCCUGUGAACUUUAAGUCCCCUCUAUCCCGGUAAAUCAUUGCCAAACAGUUUUGAUUCGGGACCUCUGUCCAAAAGGAGUUGCAAUCGAAGGGUGGAAGCAGUGGCAUGGCUUCCCCAAGCAGUUAGUGAAUGACAGUGUCACUGACUGUGUAAGGAUAACGCCUCACGGUUGCUAGAGGUCGAUCACCGACCGGCAGACAUGUCACAGGGUCACCACGCCCCUUAAUCACUCCACUUGAAAAUGCCCCGCCUAGUGGUAACGCGCUAGGUAAAAAAAACCGAACAACUGUUAACAAUGGAUAUCUUGGUUCUC
RNAcentral lists this unclassified non-coding RNA (382 nucleotides) under fungal sp. RNAcentral's name for it is "partial internal transcribed spacer region". The stretch from base 1 to 46 matches the Rfam family "Eukaryotic small subunit ribosomal RNA", at positions 1786 to 1831 of the family's 1831-position model. The record is from RNAcentral. Lineage: Eukaryota; Fungi.